Drosophila melanogaster (fruit fly) is the source of this 552-nucleotide non-coding RNA. NCBI's taxonomy places the organism in Eukaryota, Metazoa, Arthropoda, Insecta, Diptera, Drosophilidae. The record is from Ensembl.
CUUCGGAUUUGUAUGAGGAUUCGGAAACGGUUGUGGCAUCAUUUUCGCUUUCCGUUUUGUCGUUGCCGCCGCUAGCAUUUUCACUGCUACUCUUACCAGACGAACUGGGACGCUCCGGGUCGAGAAGCGAGUCCUUGUUAUCGCCCCCGGUGAGUUUAGUAGAGUCAGAGUCUUUGGUCGUUGUAGUUCCGUCAUCGUCCACCUCGUCACCAUCAUCGUGCUUCGAAUUAGCAUCGUCUUCGUUUCUGUGGUGGUUCCAGAAAAAAGGGUUUGAAUGUUAGUAGCAAUUUAAUGGAAUUUACUGAUCAUAUAUCAGAUGCAGGCCAUGCCCAACGCAGUUAAAACACUGAGAGAAAAUUCACAAAACACACGCACACACACACAUUCAGCGCAAUGUCAAUGGAUCAAUGCAUUCAAUGUGAGCGUUAAUGGAAGCCCCGUAGGUUGCGCUGUUGUAUCUGAGAAUAUUUCGUUGAAUACCUUAUCAAGAAAUUAUACGGCGAGAAUUCGAUGAACAAGCACAAUGAUUAUUAAAAUUAUUAAUGUGAAUUG